GACGAACGCUGGCGGCGUGCUUAACACUUGCAAGUCGAACGGAAAGGCCCUGCUUUCGUGGGGUGCUCGAGUGGCGAACGGGUGAGUAACACGUGAGUAACCUGCCCUUGACUUUGGGAUAACUUCAGGAAACUGGGGCUAAUACCGGAUAGGAGCUCCUGCUGCAUGGUGGGGGUUGGAAAGUUUCGGCGGUUGGGGAUGGACUCGCGGCUUAUCAGCUUGUUGGUGGGGUAGUGGCUUACCAAGGCUUUGACGGGUAGCCGGCCUGGGAGGGUGACCGGCCACAUUGGGACUGAGAUACGGCCCAGACUCCUACGGGAGGCAGCAGUGGGGAAUAUUGCACAAUGGGCGGAAGCCUGAUGCAGCAACGCCGCGUGCGGGAUGACGGCCUUCGGGUUGUAAACCGCUUUCGCCUGUGACGAAGCGUGAGUGACGGUAAUGGGUAAAGAAGCACCGGCUAACUACGUG
RNAcentral lists this ribosomal RNA (468 nucleotides) under uncultured bacterium. RNAcentral's name for it is "partial 16S ribosomal RNA". It matches the Rfam family "Bacterial small subunit ribosomal RNA", at positions 28 to 507 of the family's 1533-position model. The record is from RNAcentral.